Molecule: ribosomal RNA, 228 nt
Filed under: uncultured bacterium
Lineage: Bacteria
Description: partial 16S ribosomal RNA
Rfam family: Bacterial small subunit ribosomal RNA
Source: RNAcentral
UGCGUAGGCGGCCUGACAAGUCAGAGGUGAAAGGCUACGGCUUAACCGUAGUAAGCCUUUGAAACUGACAGGCUUGAGUGCAGGAGAGGAAAGUGGAAUUCCUAGUGUAGCGGUGAAAUGCGUAGAUAUUAGGAGGAACGCCAGUGGCGAAGGCGACUUUCUGGACUGUAACUGACGCUGAGGCACGAAAGCGUGGGGAGCGAACAGGAUUAGAUACCCUGGUAGUCC